CCAAUAGCGUAUAUUAAAGUUGUUGCAGUUAAAAAGCUCGUAGUUGAAUUUCGGGGUUAGUAAGUUGGUCGUGCCACUGGUAUGUACUGGCUUUACUGAUUCCUCCUUCUUGUAGAACCGUAAUGCCAUUAAGUUGGUGUUGCGGGGAAACAGGACUGUUACUUUGAAAAAAUUAGAGUGUUUAAAGCAAGCUAACGCUUGAAUACAUUAGCAUGGAAUAAUGAAAUAGGACGUUCGAUCCUAUUUUGUUGGUUUCUAGGAUUGACGUAAUGAUUAAUAGGGAUAGUUGGAGGCAUUAGUAUUCAAUUGUCAGAGGUGAAAUUCUUGGAUUUAUUGAAGACUAACUACUGCGAAAGCAUUUGCCAAGGAUGUUUUCAUUAAUCAAGAACGAAAGUUAGGGGAUCGAAGACGAUCAGAUACCGUCGUAGUCUUAACCAUAAACUAUGCCGACUAGGGAUCGGAUGAUGUUAAUUUUAUAAUGACUCAUUCGGCGCCUUACG
Molecule: unclassified non-coding RNA, 500 nt
Filed under: uncultured Glomus
Lineage: Eukaryota; Fungi; Glomeromycota; Glomeromycetes; Glomerales; Glomeraceae
Description: SSU rRNA
Rfam family: Eukaryotic small subunit ribosomal RNA
Source: RNAcentral